CACUCCUUCAUCACCUGUGGUGGAUAACAACUUUCUUGUAAAGAUCAAAUUAGCAAACAAUAUUGAAAUGGCCCGUGGAACACUGAAACGCGUAGAAAAAAUGAUCCGGGACUCUCCCGAGCUGCUCACUAGUGAAAACAUUAAAAAGUUCUAUGGCAUGUAUAGAGAUUGCAGGAGUUUAGAUAAAUAUCUAGGAACAUCUUUCUUCCGUGACAGACGCUUCUACCCUUUAAUAUUUGAUGUUAAAGAACUGGAACGAACUGGUGAACAGAAAAAAUCCGAUGCCAAAGUUGCCAAUGAUCAAAACAGUGGUGCAGAGAUUAAACAGUCCUCAUUACACUCUGUAAAACGGCUGAACUUAUUAAAAUCAUCGAGCUUAAAUUCCUGCAAUGAAGAGACUGAAACUGUUGUAAGCCCAGAAUUAGACAAAAGUGAUGAAUGGAGCUCCCCCGUUGCCAAGAAAAGUUCACGGUCGCUGUCCACUGUCACCGGGGAAUUUUUAUCUGCCAACCUAGCUAGUCUAGAAAUGGAAUUCUUUAAUAAUUCCGUUGUAAAUGCUGCCAAAUCAGAUUCAGCACUCAGUAGUUCAAUUGAAGACUCACAAAUGGAUUCUUGCCAGAACAGCUCAGCCGAACAACCAGUUGAUCAGCCCAAGAAAGUGAUAGCCGCAACUGGUGGCUGGAAGACAGCCUGUCAUACCUGCGUAGAGUUGUGUCAGUUAAUCCUUGAGCAGCUUCUUAAAGCAGAAGCAGAGGUCUAUAAGCUGCUCAACCAUCCCUCUUGCAAAUCGUUGCAGGAGGAAUUGACAGGAGUCAAGAAUGCUGAUGAAAUGAUCGAUGAUAUUCACAAAUACACCCAGAUAAACUCCUUUGCCUCUGAGAAGCUUACACCUAUCGAGGGGCCCAUUCCUGACUCGCCUGAGUCGCCUGAUCCAGAAACAGCAGAUGUUCGUUUUGCCGAUGGAUCAAUCAUUUACAGAAGUAAAUCUUUGCUAGACCUUCUUGCGGAAACACAAAAGAGCCAAACCAUCGUUGUGUAUGAAAAUGAUACAUCAGCUGAUUCUGGGGUAGAUGCUGAGUUUGAACUACCGGCUUCCGUGUCAAAAGUCUUACUUCAAAAGGAAGGGGAAGGUAAGAAAUUUGUCAGGCGACACAGAAUGCUUUUGAACCAGUAUGCUUACUUCUGUUAAGUUAUUUUAAGGUGAUUCUAUGUGAUCUAGGGACAAGAUUCGCCACUGCGUUGCGCUGCUAUGCAGUUCAUGUCUUUGAGAAGCAAUAAUUAUCGUUACGUGCGAGUUAAUGAGUGAAACUGAUCCAUAACGUGCAGCAGCAUUAAUACUGAGUAGAAUGACAUUAAAUUUGUUAAGAUUCAUUGUAAAUUUAAACCUGAAACAAUGAUAACGGACGUCGCCCAUUGACUCAAUGUGUAAGAAAGAUAUGGUGCUAUCAUGACUCUCUUACACGUUAAAUCAAUGAGUGUCAUCUUUUAUUGUAGUUUCAGGUAUACAUUUACAAUUAAUCUACACAAAUUUGAUGUCAUACUACUCAGUAUUAAUGCUGCUACGCGUUAGGGAUCAGUUUCUUGCAUUAUCUUGCACAUUACGAUAAUAUUGCUUCUCAAAGACGUAACCAUGAGACAGCGCAGCAUAGUGGCGAAUCUCAUCCGUAAAUGGCAUAGAAUCACCCUAAUAAUCAUUGUUAGGGAUCAUAAAUGUGUUGCACACCGUUCAAUACUGUAUCUGUAGAUGACGACGACAGGAGCCUCAAUGAUCUUGGUGGUGCUAGAACUGCUAGAACCACCCUCCAGCUGUAGAACUAAUGAAAAUUUCACUAUUACUUAUAUUACAUGGAGGAUGAUGGUCUCAGCUGGCAGGAAAAAUAGUUACUGGUAGCACACAAUGUAUGGAUGCCCAACAGAAAGGCCAGCUCAAGAGACCAAAUGAGGGCCAGUGUAAGUCUUUAGCAUUUAAUGUUCUAAGGCUGCCCCUAUAUUCUUCAUUGGAUAUGCAAGGGUUGCCCUACAGUAAAACUUGACGUGCUCCUAAUACGUAUUUUUUCAGUUUGCAGUCAGUUUUUGUCCUUAACUUUCUCAAAAAUCACCAAAGUGUCACUAUCCUCUUGAAAAUAUCUUUUUUUCAGGUUUUUCUAUGCUGAGUGCUGUGCCAGAAUGCCAUAAGUAUGAGUCCUCGAAAUAUGUACUGCCACAUGUAACCAAUCCAAGAACUUUAUGAAAACUGUGAACAAUGAAAUCAAGCUACUUCUCACCUCUUUACCAUGUGGAAUAACUGUCAAAGGAUUUGAAGGUCGAAUGGUGAGUUAUGGCCAAAUUCAAAUUAUUGACUCCUGUUGAAUCUUGGAACAAAACCCGAGUAAUCAGGGAGGAAUACAGAAAAAGGGGAGCUAUCCAGAGAAAUCGUGUAACCAAAUUUACCUGUAUGAAGGCCAUCAUCAGGUUGUCCUAAAUAACGCACAAAAAGUUUGCUGUGAUCUAACUUUAAGAACCCUCUUCAAAUGCCUAAAAUUAGAAAUGCAAUUGUUUAUUUUCUGCGGAAAAUACAUUAUAAUGAUAAAGCUGUCGAGAAAUUCAGAAUUUUAAAAUAAACAAGUAGUGUUAUGUGAUGUAUCAUUUGCUCAUUUUAGCUGUAGAUUUUAAAUGCAAGGUCAAAAAACCCCUUAGGCAAUUAGGGUGCCCCAAAUCUAAGUUUUCGACUAAUCUGGAAAGCAUGAGGGUAUAUUUAUUUUAAAUAUUGAUAUAUGUAAUAAGUCAAAUGAGGUGUGAUUGCCUCAGUAAUAUCAGUGUAGAUUUCAAAUAUGAAUUAAUAAACAUCCCUUGAUCAUAGUGAGCGUCUCAAAUUGAAGGGCAGAAGGGUUCAAAUUAGUUAAAUAUUCACACAAUCAGUCGAGCAUGGUAUCAUUACCCGUGUAAUUUUGUAUUAUGUUUCAAAUAUUUGUCUGUAGCAGAAAAUGUUAAGAAAGUCAAACUGUUUCAGUUUAUCCAAUAAAAUUGGUACAGAAGUGAUGGAUUCUCAGUAGAUUAUUAAGUAAGCCGUUACAGUCCUAGAUGACCGUUACUUUCAAAUGAAAUUAAUCG
RNAcentral lists this long non-coding RNA (3090 nucleotides) under Bemisia tabaci. Its description in RNAcentral is "lncRNA ENSSSA2NGG010136". The record is from RNAcentral. Lineage: Eukaryota; Metazoa; Arthropoda; Insecta; Hemiptera; Aleyrodidae.